CCACCUGACUUCAUGUUAAAGAUAAAACUACGUCUCUCCUCCGAGAACCGUUUACGUGAUGUUCAACUACUAUUGGUCGUAAAACGAAACGAGGGACUCUCCUUCACAGUUACAGGGGGGAAGGUCUUUUUGUAUCCUCGCGUUUACUGGCGUGUACUCCGUACGGUUGAAGAUUACCUUCAGUACGGCCCUUCUCCGCUUAAGGUACGGUUGGUACGACACACAUAUACACUUUCCUGGCUGACUUGAAGUCAUGAGUUUAGCUUAGGACCACCAUUGAUCGAGCAACCACUUGAAACACCUAGACGCCUACCUAGACUGUGACUUAUACUAGGGUGUCCCUGUCGCUUUCUCUACUAGUGACUUCUACUGUGACGAUGUCCUCUCCUUAAGGCUUCUACUAGGUUGGCACCAUGUUCUCUACUAAGAAACUAGUCUGUUCUCCAAAGACUCGACCUCAUCUAGGAAUAAUCAACUCAAUAGAACGUCGAGCUUCCUUAAUAAACGUAUGUUCACAACAUGCAACAUUAGAGGAGACAAAAUACUUAAAGCCACAUUCGUACUUUGAAAUGAAGAAUGAUAAUAAUAAUAAAAAACG
This 598-nucleotide ribosomal RNA is filed under the name Triticum aestivum (bread wheat). RNAcentral describes it as "partial small subunit ribosomal RNA". Lineage: Eukaryota; Viridiplantae; Streptophyta; Magnoliopsida; Poales; Poaceae. The record is from RNAcentral.